GACGAACGCUGGCGGCGUGCUUAACACAUGCAAGUCGAACGGAAAGGCCCUGCUUUUGUGCGGUGCUCGAGUGGCGAACGGGUGAGUAACACGUGAGUAACCUGCCCUUGACUUUGGGAUAACUUCAGGAAACUGGGGCUAAUACCGGAUAGGAGCUCCUGCUGCAUGGUGGGGGUUGGAAAGUUUCGGCGGUUGGGGAUGGACUCGCGGCUUAUCAGCUUGUUGGUGGGGUAGUGGCUUACCAAGGCUUUGACGGGUAGGCGGCCUGGGAGGGUGACCGGCGACAUGGGUACUGCGGUACGGACCAGAAGCCUACGGGAGGCAGCGGUGGGAAGUAUUGCACAAUGGGCGGAAGCCUGAUGCAGCAACGCCGCGUGCGGGAUGACGGCCUUCGAGUUGUAAACAACUUUGGACGGAAACAAGGCGUGAGUGACGGUAAUGGGUAAAGAAGCACCGGCUAACUACGUG
RNAcentral lists this ribosomal RNA (468 nucleotides) under uncultured bacterium. RNAcentral's name for it is "partial 16S ribosomal RNA". It matches the Rfam family "Bacterial small subunit ribosomal RNA", at positions 28 to 507 of the family's 1533-position model. The record is from RNAcentral.